CUUUCCGGCUGGAAUGGGGAAUUUGUGAGGUAGGCCGGAAGUGGUGUUGCGGAGGGAACUGUGGGGAGAGCAGAGGGGCAGCUCUGCUGGAGAGACCUGAGGCUUGCAUCGCUGGGCCCGGCCGGGUCGCUGCGGCUGGGCUGGAGGUCAAGGAUGCAUUCCAGGAAAGUUCUAUAAAAAUAUACCAUCAACUCCAACCUGAUAUUUGACCUAGCCAUGGAAAACCUCAUUGGCUCCUCACUGGAUCAGACCAUAAAAAUGAUCCAGGAAUGAAAAUCUAAGAUAAAUUCCCACCACUUCAAGAUGUUCUUAUACAAGUCAACAGUCUAGCAGAUCAGCCAGUCUCUUUCAUCAUCAAGCAGACAUACUCAAGAAAGAGGAAUAGUGAAGUGAAAUACACAGAAGCAUGUUCAAGUUCAUCUGUUGAAUCUGGAAUUGUGAAUAGUGACAAUAUUGAGAAAAAUACUGACUCCAAUCUGCAAACUUCAACUUCAUUUGAGCCACAUUUCAAAAAGAAAAAAGAACAAGAACUGCACAGCCAUCUGGGAAGCCUUUAAAGUGGCGCUGGACAA
Molecule: small RNA, 572 nt
Filed under: Pan troglodytes (chimpanzee)
Lineage: Eukaryota; Metazoa; Chordata; Mammalia; Primates; Hominidae
Description: processed transcript
Source: RNAcentral